CUCUAGAGGGAAGCACUUUCUGUUGUCUGGAAGAAAAGAAUGCGCUUCCCUUUAGAGGG
This 59-nucleotide microRNA precursor is filed under the name Macaca mulatta (Rhesus monkey). RNAcentral describes it as "Mml-Mir-430-P21_pre stem-loop". It matches the Rfam family "mir-515 microRNA precursor family", at positions 16 to 74 of the family's 87-position model. The record is from RNAcentral. Lineage: Eukaryota; Metazoa; Chordata; Mammalia; Primates; Cercopithecidae.